UUCUAGAUUUAUUUAAAUUCAUCCCGGUCAUAGAUAAAUUGAGAGACGGGAACUACGAAAUUAAUUGCGGGAAAUCGGAUAGAUUGUUAUUGUUAUCAUGUGGACUGUUUGGUGGUCGUUAUAAAUUGUUUGGUGUGCUGGGAUAUCGUUAGAUUUCUAAAUAAUUAAGGGUUGAUUUGAAAGAGUAUUCUAAUUUGAUUAUUGGCGAUAUUAAAGUCCAGCUAUGUAGGGAAAUUAUCAAUCACCUAGACAAUUUGGUUACACAUUGAGUUUAGUGGGUUACAAGAAACGAAAUAAAGAUGAAGGGCUAAGUACUAUGUUGACAACACCUCUUUCCACGUGGCUUAAUGGCAAGACACAAAUAGUGACUAUUAACAAUUUUGUAAUGUUCAUCAUAGAUCCUAUUAAGCUAGACAUCCAUUUAUAUAUAAAACUAGCCGUCCCUUCUACUUCCUUCACAACUAAGUAUUCUUGUGUCUUAGUUAUAUACAUAUAUUUGAUUCCAUAAGUUUAUCUGUUCCUUAACAAUUAGUUGUGGUCAGCCAAUGAUAUUUAAUUAGAUAGAGUAAUAGUCAGUGACAUCAACGUUUUAGCCAAGAAUAUAUGCUGCCAUGAAAUCCCAUUUUGUAUGAGAUUGUAUGAACUUCAUUAUCAAUAAGAAUUCUCUAGUACCAACUUUCUAUAUGUAGAUGUAGCUAGUGAGGCAUUCCACGAUGGAAAUGGAUUUACUUUGUUACUCAAAUAAUCUUCCUUUGACAAACUAAGUGAAGUAGUGGAAUUCCCCAGAAUUCUUCACUGGACCUUUAUGCUCGAAUUCAAGACUAACAUAUAGAGAAGGUUGGUUUCAAGGUCAUCAGUAAAGGUUCGACACUAAAGGUACAGAUACUCGCUUUGGUGAUCCGCCAGCUUAGGAUUCCCUUUCUGCUGUCUUGGAGAGCUCCGUCGUUCCGAAGCCUAGAUUUUGGUACCGACUUCCUGAUAUGCAUAUAUAUAUAUAUGUUUUUGUCCAUGGGUACGACGGGGCCCUGUCCCGUCAUAUGUUACUGUUGAUACUCUUAGAGGUCUGUAGACAUGUAUGUGGGUUGUGUGCAGAUGUGGUUAGUUGUGCCUAUAUGGUCAUUAUGGAUGUUCUAGCGCUGUAGCAGCCUUGCCGACUUGCAUCUAUUAUCGUUUUGUUGUGGCAGCCUUGCCGGCUUGCAUAUAUUAUCGUUCUGUUGUAGCAGCCUUGUCGGCUUGCGUGAUAUUCUGAUAUGUAGUGGCAGCCUUGUCGGCUUACGAAGAAUAAUAAUAUAUACAGUGGCAGCCUCGUCGGCUUGCAUAUGUCAUUA
Molecule: long non-coding RNA, 1328 nt
Organism: Lycium barbarum (goji berry)
Lineage: Eukaryota; Viridiplantae; Streptophyta; Magnoliopsida; Solanales; Solanaceae
Exons: 2
Source: RefSeq, a predicted model, not a curated record